UAUAACAGCGCGACAUGUUUGCUAAUGGUUGUGCAUGAGCAGAAGGCCCGCCCGCAUCAAAUAGCCUAAACAGCGAUGAAAACAAGGUACCUUCACAGGGCUGUCGAAGAGGCCGUUGAGCUUGGCAAAGCUUCCGGUGGAGUCGGAGCAGGACGGGGCGGACUCGGUGUCCUUGUGGACGUGCCUGGGCUUGCGCAGGAAGGAGUCUCUGUAGCAGAACACCACCAGGCCCGCGAGCAGCGCCCCCAGGAGGAAGGCAGCGAACACACAGGUGAUGAGGAUGUUCAUGUGGACCAUCUGGUUGGCCUCUCCUGCCUGGAUCUCCCACACGCCUACAAACAGACACAGGCAUUGGUUGAACACACCUGACGCAGCCAAUCACAGUGCUCCUUACAGCACCUCCUGAGCGGUGAACCAUAACUGCUGUAACACCUGAGAAGGUAAGAACUGGAGAACAUGGUGAAAAUUGGCAGGAAGGAUCAGGUGCCCGAGACAAGUCCACACAAGUGAGCCCAUCAACAGAAAGGUAGUGCUAUGUUAGUCGAAAAUGAAGACGUUGAUUGUUGCGCUGUCAUACCCACUCAAUUCAGAUAGUUUCUUAUUGACCGCAUGCAUGUCACUACGUUAAAAAGAUAGAAAAGCGGACCCCUAUUCAGAGAAAAUAAAGCAGAACCGGAGAGAUCCUCAAAACUCGUUUCCAGACGCGUGAGGUGGAGCUCUAGGCGUGUCA
This is a long non-coding RNA of Osmerus eperlanus (European smelt), 730 nucleotides long. RefSeq lists it as uncharacterized. The record is from RefSeq and is a predicted model, not a curated record. The transcript is spliced from 3 exons. NCBI's taxonomy places the organism in Eukaryota, Metazoa, Chordata, Actinopteri, Osmeriformes, Osmeridae.